UGAACGCUGGCGGUAUGCCUAACACAUGCAAGUCGUACGGGAGUUUUUAACUCAAGUGGCGGACGGGUGAGUAACACGUGAGAAUUUACCUUUAGGAGGGGGAUAACAGUUGGAAACGAUUGCUAAUACCCCAUAUGCUUUUUAAGUGAAACGGAUUUAUUCGCCUAAAGGAAAGCUCGCGGCUGAUUAGCUAGUUGGUAAGGUAAUGGCUUACCAAGGCGACGAUCAGUAUCUGGUUUGAGAGGACGAUCAGACACACUGGAACUGGGACACGGUCCAGACUCCUACGGAAGGCAGCAGUGGGGAAUUUUCCGCAAUGGGCGAAAGCCCGGCGGAGCAAUACCGCGUGAGGGAAGAAAGCCUACUGGGUUGUAAACCUCUUUUUUUCAGGGAGGAAAAAAAACUGACGUGUACCUGAAGAAUAAGCAUCGGCUAACUCCGUGCCAGCAGCCGCGGUAAUCUGAUG
RNAcentral lists this ribosomal RNA (466 nucleotides) under uncultured bacterium. Its description in RNAcentral is "partial 16S ribosomal RNA". It matches the Rfam family "Bacterial small subunit ribosomal RNA", at positions 30 to 530 of the family's 1533-position model. The record is from RNAcentral.